CAGCAGAGAAUUUGCUAUUCGAAAUGCCAAACACAUUGCAAAGAUAUUCUUUGAAGAGGAAAAGAUGUUAGAUUUAUGGGAUUUUAUUUCUUCUCCUCCUCCACCUCCUUGUUUGGAGAGAUCAUAGUUUUCAGCUGUGAGUUUAGGGGAAGGUGAUUUUCCUGCAUUUAGUCUCCUCCUCAUUCUAUACACGACUACCAACAGGAGAAACGAAUAUCAGAAUCUAAUCAAAUAUACCAACCAGGUACUUUGUUCCUUAAUAUGAUGUAGAACACACGACCGGAGAUGGGAUGUAAUUGCCGGCGGUAACAUUAAACAAGCCACUACUCACGGUGGUAAGUGACGCGGAGGUGGUGGAAGUGACUGUUUUCUGAAAAAGAAGGACUUGAC
This 390-nucleotide unclassified non-coding RNA is filed under the name Hevea brasiliensis (rubber tree). Lineage: Eukaryota; Viridiplantae; Streptophyta; Magnoliopsida; Malpighiales; Euphorbiaceae. The record is from RNAcentral.